CACUCAUCGAGACCGGCGGAGGGAUAGGCCCUUUGAUGCCGGGGCAACCUGCGGGAAACGUUCCCGUCACGGUGCCAAAUCCUGCGGAGGCGCCACGGCGCCACCGAGAGAUGGGCG
Regulatory RNA element from Rhodanobacter sp. OK091, 117 nucleotides. It matches the Rfam family "SAM riboswitch aptamer (S box leader)". Rfam says of the family: The SAM riboswitch is found upstream of a number of genes which code for proteins involved in methionine or cysteine biosynthesis in Gram-positive bacteria. The record is from Rfam. Lineage: Bacteria; Pseudomonadati; Pseudomonadota; Gammaproteobacteria; Lysobacterales; Rhodanobacteraceae.